RNAcentral lists this ribosomal RNA (426 nucleotides) under uncultured bacterium. RNAcentral's name for it is "bacterial SSU rRNA". It matches the Rfam family "Bacterial small subunit ribosomal RNA", at positions 356 to 773 of the family's 1533-position model. The record is from RNAcentral.
GGGGAAUCUUGCACAAUGGGGGCAACCCUGAUGCAGCGAUGCCGCGUGAGUGAAGAAGGCCUUCGGGUUGUAAAGCUCUUUCGAUUGGGAAGAAGGGUUCUUAAGUGAACAAUUUAAGAAUUUGACGGUGCCUAGAGAAGAAGCACCGGCUAACUCCGUGCCAGCAGCCGCGGUAAUACGGAGGGUGCAAGCGUUGUUCGGAAUUACUGGGCGUAAAGAGCACGUAGGCGGGUUCGUAAGUCGAUUGUGAAAGCCCCGGGCUCAAUCCGGGAAUUGCAGUCGAAACUACGAGUCUUGAAUACCUGAGAGGGUGACGGAAUUCCUGGUGUAGAAGUGAAAUUCGUAGAUAUCAGGAGGAACACCGGAGGCGAAGGCGGUUGCCUGGCAGUGUAUUGACGCUGAGGUGCGAAAGCGUGGGGAGCAAAC